AGAACGAACGCUGGCGGCAGGCUUAACACAUGCAAGUCGAACGCUCGUAGCAAUACGGGAGUGGCAGACGGGUGAGUAACGCGUGGGAACAUACCCUCCGGUUCGGAAUAGCUCAGGGAAACUUGGAUUAAUACCGGAUACGGCUGAGAGGCGAAAGAUUUAUCGUCGGAGGAUUGGCCCGCGUUCGAUUAGCUUGUUGGUGAGGUAACGGCUCACCAAGGCGAUGAUCGAUAGCUGGUCUGAGAGGAUGAUCAGCCACAUUGGGACUGAGACACGGCCCAAACUCCUACGGGAGGCAGCAGUGGGGAAUAUUGGACAAUGGGCGCAAGCCUGAUCCAGCCAUGCCGCGUGAGUGAUGACGGCCUUAGGGUUGUAAAGCUCUUCCGCUCGGGACGAUAAUGACGGUACCGAGAUAAGAAGCCCCGGCUAACUUCGUGCCAGCAGCCGC
This 448-nucleotide ribosomal RNA is filed under the name uncultured bacterium. Its description in RNAcentral is "SSU rRNA". It matches the Rfam family "Bacterial small subunit ribosomal RNA", at positions 26 to 518 of the family's 1533-position model. The record is from RNAcentral.